This 385-nucleotide long non-coding RNA is filed under the name Selaginella moellendorffii. Its description in RNAcentral is "long non-coding RNA (SMOE_LNC000209)". The record is from RNAcentral. Lineage: Eukaryota; Viridiplantae; Streptophyta; Lycopodiopsida; Selaginellales; Selaginellaceae.
UUUCUCGAAGGUCGGUUGCCGGGUUUGUUUGUUUUAAUCAUUGUGAGUUUGUUUAUUUUGUUACAAGUUUCUUACGUCGUCCAGAUGCCUUGCAGUGCUUGCAGUUGUGUGUCACACACAGACUCUGAACAGACCAAACUACCAAGUACCACAUCUUGCAAUCCAUGUUGGCAUUUUGAAGUGGAUAGGUUAUAACUUUAGUGGUACUCACUUACUUGAAUUCAAGGUCAGAUCAGGUCCAUGUCAAGUUUCAACGGGUGCACAGCUCUUCAACCUCUAGCUGCCCUAGGCUCAUUCAAUUUGCCUUUCGAGACCAGAAUGUAUUCGUUGAGUUGAAAACCUCUAUAUCUAACCAUGAAUGAGAAAUUUUGACUUUAAUUUCCAC